RNAcentral lists this ribosomal RNA (253 nucleotides) under uncultured bacterium. Its description in RNAcentral is "partial 16S ribosomal RNA". It matches the Rfam family "Bacterial small subunit ribosomal RNA", at positions 524 to 776 of the family's 1533-position model. The record is from RNAcentral.
UACAGAGGUCCCAAGCGUUGUUCGGAUUCACUGGGCGUAAAGGGUGCGUAGGUGGCUUGGUAAGUUUGAUGUGAAAUCUCCGGGCUUAACCCGGAAAUGGCAUUGAAUACUUUUGAGCUGGAGGUUUGGAGGGGGGACUGGAAUUCUCGGUGUAGCAGUGAAAUGCGUAGAUAUCGAGAGGAACACCAGUGGCGAAGGCGAGUCCCUGGACAACACCUGACACUGAGGCACGAAAGCUAGGGGAGCAAACAGG